CCUACGGGUGGCAGCAGUGGGGGAUAUUGCACAAUGGGGGAAACCCUGAUGCAGCGACGCCGCGUGGGCGAAGAAGUAUUUCGGUAUGUAAAGCCCUAUCAGCAGGGAAGAAGAAAUGACGGUACCUGAGUAAGAAGCACCGGCUAAAUACGUGCCAGCAGCCGCGGUAAUACGUAUGGUGCAAGCGUUAUCCGGAUUUACUGGGGGUAAAGGGAGGGCAGGCGGCAGGGCAAGCCUGAUGUGAAAGCCCGGGGCCCAACCGCGGGACUGCAUUGGAAACUACCGGGCUGGAGUGCCGGAGAGGUAGGCGGAAUUCCUAGUGUAGCGGUGGAAUGCGUAGAUAUUAGGAGGAACACCGGUGGCGAAGGCGGCCUGCUGGACUGCGACUGACGUUGAGGCCCGAAAGCGUGGGGAGCAAACAGGAUUAGAUACCCUUGUAGUC
RNAcentral lists this ribosomal RNA (442 nucleotides) under uncultured bacterium. RNAcentral describes it as "partial 16S ribosomal RNA". It matches the Rfam family "Bacterial small subunit ribosomal RNA", at positions 338 to 795 of the family's 1533-position model. The record is from RNAcentral.